UACGAAGGGGGCUAGCGUUGUUCGGAAUCACUGGGCGUAAAGGGCGCGUAGGCGGCUUUAUAAGUCGGGGGUGAAAGCCUGUGGCUCAACCACAGAAUUGCCUUCGAUACUGUAGAGCUUGAGACCGGAAGAGGUAAGUGGAACUGCGAGUGUAGAGGUGAAAUUCGUAGAUAUUCGCAAGAACACCAGUGGCGAAGGCGGCCAACUGGUCCGAUACUGACGCUGAGGCGCGAAAGCGUGGGGAGCAAACAGG
RNAcentral lists this ribosomal RNA (253 nucleotides) under uncultured bacterium. Its description in RNAcentral is "partial 16S ribosomal RNA". It matches the Rfam family "Bacterial small subunit ribosomal RNA", at positions 524 to 776 of the family's 1533-position model. The record is from RNAcentral.